AAGAUUGCAAUGAUGAUGCAAUUUUUUGUGGACUAGAGUUUCUGAUCUGGGUUUUCCCAGUAGUUGAAGACUAACCCUUGGCUGUCUGAGUAACCUU
Gossypium raimondii (Peruvian cotton) is the source of this 97-nucleotide small nucleolar RNA. It matches the Rfam family "Small nucleolar RNA Z157/R69/R10". Rfam says of the family: Z157, R69 and R10 are members of the C/D class of snoRNA which contain the C (UGAUGA) and D (CUGA) box motifs. Most of the members of the box C/D family function in directing site-specific 2'-O-methylation of substrate RNAs. Lineage: Eukaryota; Viridiplantae; Streptophyta; Magnoliopsida; Malvales; Malvaceae. The record is from Rfam.